AGAAACCUUGCCAUCACGAAGUCCUCCCAGAGCGGAUUAGAUUUUUCUAUAAUUUCAGUCGGAACCUCAACUGAACGUUUCCCCUCCGAUAUCGCAACAUCAACCUCAUAUUUCUUCAAAACCUGCUUCUUCUAUGCCACCCGACCCAAGUUUUAACAACUUUCUGUAUCUCCGGCGGAGGAUCUGCCAGAAUCUCUGUCGUAGCCAUCUCUACUGCCUUCAUUGACAGCGGAGAUCGUAGAUCACCGGUUGUUUCCGUUAUCGCCUUCAAAAUCGCCAAAUCGCUUAGGUUACCAAAACGGUGUGUUUUCUCUCUCAAUCUCUCCAAAAGUAAAUCACAAGGCCCAAUCUAUAUUAUUAAAACAGAAACAUUGGAUUGGACUUAACUUUUAUUUUGUAAGUUUUUAAAUUAAAUAC
RNAcentral lists this long non-coding RNA (417 nucleotides) under Brassica napus (rape). RNAcentral describes it as "long non-coding RNA (BNAP_LNC020691)". The record is from RNAcentral. Lineage: Eukaryota; Viridiplantae; Streptophyta; Magnoliopsida; Brassicales; Brassicaceae.